This 515-nucleotide ribosomal RNA is filed under the name uncultured bacterium. Its description in RNAcentral is "bacterial SSU rRNA". It matches the Rfam family "Bacterial small subunit ribosomal RNA", at positions 9 to 522 of the family's 1533-position model. The record is from RNAcentral.
GAGUUUGAUCCUGGCUCAGGACGAACGCUGGCGGCGCGCCUAACACAUGCAAGUCGAACGGGACUAUGCGAGAUGAAGUUUUCGGAUGGAAUUUUGUGUAGUUUAGUGGCGGACGGGUGAGUAACACGUGAGCAACCUGCCUUCGAGAGGGGAAUAACGGCUGGAAACGGUCGCUAAUACCGCAUAACAUACGGGAGGGACAUCCCUUUUGUAUCAAAGAUUUAUCGCUCGAAGAUGGGCUCGCGUCCGAUUAGGUAGUUGGUGAGGUAACGGCCCACCAAGCCGACGAUCGGUAGCCGGACUGAGAGGUUGAACGGCCACAUUGGGACUGAGACACGGCCCAGACUCCUACGGGAGGCAGCAGUGGGGGAUAUUGCACAAUGGGGGAAACCCUGAUGCAGCGACGCCGCGUGUAGGAAGACGGUCCUCUGGAUUGUAAACUACUGUCCCCAGGGACGAAGAUGACGGUACCUGGGGAGGAAGCUCCGGCUAACUACGUGCCAGCAGCCGCGGUA